Molecule: small nuclear RNA, 194 nt
Gene: U2
Rfam family: U2 spliceosomal RNA
About the family: U2 is a small nuclear RNA (snRNA) component of the spliceosome (involved in pre-mRNA splicing). Complementary binding between U2 snRNA (in an area lying towards the 5' end but 3' to hairpin I) and the branchpoint sequence (BPS) of the intron results the bulging out of an unpaired adenosine, on the BPS, which initiates a nucleophilic attack at the intronic 5' splice site, thus starting the first of two transesterification reactions that mediate splicing.
Source: Ensembl
AUCACUUCUCGGCCUUUUGGCUAAGAUCAAGUGUAGUAUCUCUUCUUAUCAGUGUGCAGAUAAUUAUAAUUCAAGGCAAAAUGUGUUUUUCCCAAAAGAGGGGGAAGAAGGAAAUGUUCUCAAUUAAGGAGAAUGAUAGGUUGCAUCUGGCUGGAGGGCUCAGGAAAGCUCCAUGAGGAUCAUUUCCAUCACCU